RNAcentral lists this long non-coding RNA (2191 nucleotides) under Salmo salar (Atlantic salmon). RNAcentral's name for it is "lncRNA (ENSSSAG00000104604.1)". Lineage: Eukaryota; Metazoa; Chordata; Actinopteri; Salmoniformes; Salmonidae. The record is from RNAcentral.
GUUAUUUCAUAGUUUUGCUGUCUUCACUAUUAUCUUACAAUGUAGAAAUUAGUAAAAAUAAAGAAAAACCCAUGAAUGAGUAGGUGUGUCCAAACUUUUGACUGGAACUGCAUAUUUGUUUUUAUUUUAUUUAACUAGGCAAGUCAGUUACUUCCGGGUUAGGCCAAACUCUAACUCGGAGGACUCUGAGCCAAUUGUGCGCCGCCCUAUGGGACUCUCAAUCACAGCCAGUUGUGAUACAGCCCAGGAUCGAACCAGGGUUUGUAGUGACACCUCUAGCACUGAAAUGCAGUGCCUUAGCCCGCUGCGCCACUCGGGAAAAAUGUGGUUAAUUCUUACAUUUUGGUGGAAAAAAUUAAUUUCCCCUUAGGGCCAACUCGAUCUGUCCUACUAUUGCUCCCAUGCCAUCACUUUCAUCAUAAAGGAGAAAGAAUAGUUCUGAUCAUAGAAAUAUAAUCACUAGAAUGAGUCUAACACACACCAUUGUGAUUCCAUUUCUAUGGUUCUGAUAAUAGGACUGCACAUAGUCAACCUCAUAGAAAAGACUAAUGCUUUAGUCACAGUUUAUCACAGAUCCUAAGUAAAUUAAAUGACGGACAAUUGCAUGGCUGUAUAAAACAUCAUGCAGAUUAUGGGUGAAUUAUCUCAUCACUUUAGGAUGAUUAUAUCACAGACAGAAGAAGGCGCUAGAUGUCUCACAAGACGCAUAAAUCUGAAGCAUUGGUUUAGAAUUUCCACUCACCAUCAAAUAUAGUGAUGAGAGGAAGUCCAGCGGUGGGAAGUGGGAGAAGAUUGAGCUAGAAGAAACCUGGCCGACAUUCUGCUAAUUAACAUUGCUCUCAAUACAGUUUUCUUUUCCCAAAACUAGAAUCUGUUACGAACAGAGUGCACUAAGUUUUAUAGACUUGGCCCGUUACCAAAGUUUCAAAAUAAUGUGUUGUUUAGUAGGAGCACAAGGGUGAAUUGAGUUAUUGCACACACGUACUUCACAGAGAAGGCGUUCCCUAACAGAAAUAUGCAAAUACAUGCUAAAAAGCACCAGUAGGAUCUCACUAGCACGUGCUUGACUCUGCCACAGUGCUUAAUUUGCUCUCAUUGGAAACAAUGCCAAUUAGAUACCUUGGUUUGGUUACCAAUAUCUUUGAUUAUAUUGCCCUAGAAUCAUUAGUGCUUAGUGCUCAGAAAUAUAGGUUUGACCUUUUUUGAUAUGCUGUAGGAAUAACAUUGCUGUUACUCUGUUAGUAGGCAUUCUAAAUUAAUGUUGUUGCCCUCUCUACCCAGGAGCUGAUGUAGGAGGAUCAGGACAAUAGUCAGAUUGGACCUGCAUCCCAAAUGGUACCCUAUUCCCUGACCAGGGUCAAAAGUAGUGCACUAUAUACAGAAUAGCGUGCCAUUUGGGAUGCAAUCGUGGUUUUGAAUGUGAUAGCCUGAGGCCAAGUUAGCAUCUCAACCUUAAAGGAUUUAUGAGCGGUGACUUGUAUGAGAAGCUGUGGUCUGCCCUUCUAUUUGAACAGAUGAGAUACUGUGAAGCGUCUUUCUCUGUUUUAUCUGGAACACAUACAGCAGAUCUUUGUAUUUAUAUCUGAGGGACGUUUGAAGAUUUUUCUGUGUAAGGAUGGAAGGGAAAUUAAGACUGCAUUUUUCUAACAAUGUUGAGGGCAGACUUUACUCUAUUAUUCAUUUGCAUAACAGAUGGUAGCAGCUCAUCUAGUGCUUCAGAAUGUUCCAUAUUUCCCCAUUACUUAACCAAUCACAGCUUCACAAUUUACUGGAACAACAACUUGUACUGGCUCACAACUCAAACCCACAAUCUGUUCCUCUGUUGUGUGAUUUAAUCAGGCUUAUAGUAAGUGUGUGGAAUAUUUUCCUGUCAUAUAUUUAUAUUGUGGUAUUUAUGACUACUAGACACAGCUAUGUUAUUCAUUUUUCAAUUGAUGCAAAACUGUUGUAUAGGUGAAAAGAGCCACAAGAAAUGUUAAAAGGUGUACUUUACCUGUUUGGCUUAAGAUCCCAUGAAGAAUGUUGAGGAAGGUUGAGACCGUGGAAAAACUACUUUGAUUAGUAUCUGGAUUGUGUUGUAUAAUCUUGGAUAUUACUGAUCAGAUUAGUUCUAGUUUGACUUAAAAACAUGUACUGUAUAGUCAAUUUUUUAAUACAUUUUCUACAUAUUAAUAAAAUAUUCCAAUAGUCA